RNAcentral lists this ribosomal RNA (773 nucleotides) under uncultured Neocallimastigales. RNAcentral describes it as "partial large subunit ribosomal RNA". It matches the Rfam family "Eukaryotic large subunit ribosomal RNA", at positions 26 to 643 of the family's 3401-position model. The record is from RNAcentral. Lineage: Eukaryota; Fungi; Neocallimastigomycota; Neocallimastigomycetes; Neocallimastigales.
CGCAUCUGUGCAUGCAGCAUAUCAAUAAGCGGAGGAAAAGAAACUAACAAGGAUUCCCCUAGUAACGGCGAGUGAAGCGGGAAGAGCUCAAAUUUGAAAUCUUAAAGGGUUUCCCUUUACGAAUUGUAGUUUAAAGAAGUGUUUUCUGUUGAGGUUUUGGUAAAAGUUCUUUGGAAUAGGACAUCAUAGAGGGUGAGAAUCCCGUAUUUGACCUUUACUUUCAACUUUGUGAUACACUUUCAAAGAGUCGGAUUGUUUGGGAAUGCAGUCCAAAAUGGGUGGUAAAUUUCAUCUAAAGCUAAAUAUUGGCGAGAGACCGAUAGCGAACAAGUACCGUGAGGGAAAGAUGAAAAGAACUUUGAAAAGAGAGUUAAACAGUACGUGAAAUUGUCAAAAGGGAAGCGUUUGACACCAGUGUUGUUUUUCUGAAAAUCAUUAAAGAACUGUUUAUGCUAAGUUGUUUAGACUUUAUCAGGCUAACUGUUUAGUUUUGAGCUUUUCUUUAAUGCACUUCUCAGUUAACAAGUCAACAUCAAUUUCUUUUGCUGUAAAAAAGCUUGAGGAAGGUGGCUUGAGAUUCGUCUUAAGUGUUUAUAGCCUCUUGCCUAUGCAGUCGGAGAGAUUGAGGUCUGCAGCGUAGAUCCUUCGGGGCUAAAUGCAUUUGUGCUAAGUUAUAGCAUUUUAUAGACAACUUGUUGACUAUGAUUUGUCUUGUAGCUUACUCGCUUAUGUUAUUUUACCUACGCUUAGGAUGUUGAACGCGCCAGAGUCUC